UACGUAUGGAGCAAGCGUUAUCCGGAUUUACUGGGUGUAAAGGGUGCGUAGGUGGCAGUGCAAGUCAGAUGUGAAAGGCCGGGGCUCAACCCCGGAGCUGCAUUUGAAACUGCUCGGCUAGAGUACAGGAGAGGCAGGCGGAAUUCCUAGUGUAGCGGUGAAAUGCGUAGAUAUUAGGAGGAACACCAGCGGCGAAGGCGGCCUGCUGGACUGUUACUGACACUGAGGCACGAAAGCGUGGGGAGCAAACAGG
Molecule: ribosomal RNA, 253 nt
Filed under: Anaerobutyricum hallii
Lineage: Bacteria; Bacillati; Bacillota; Clostridia; Lachnospirales; Lachnospiraceae
Description: partial 16S ribosomal RNA
Rfam family: Bacterial small subunit ribosomal RNA
Source: RNAcentral